Molecule: ribosomal RNA, 424 nt
Filed under: uncultured bacterium
Lineage: Bacteria
Description: bacterial SSU rRNA
Rfam family: Bacterial small subunit ribosomal RNA
Source: RNAcentral
CGGCAUGCCUAACACAUGCAAGUCGAACGAAGGCUUCGGCCUUAGUGGCGCACGGGUGCGUAACGCGUGGGAAUCUGCCCUUGGGUUCGGAAUAACAGCUAGAAAUGGCUGCUAAUACCGGAUGAUGACGUAAGUCCAAAGAUUUAUCGCCCAGGGAUGAGCCCGCGUAGGAUUAGCUAGUUGGUGGGGUAAAGGCUCACCAAGGCGACGAUCCUUAGCUGGUCUGAGAGGAUGAUCAGCCACACUGGGACUGAGACACGGCCCAGACUCCUACGGGAGGCAGCAGUGGGGAAUAUUGGACAAUGUUUGCAAGCCUGAUCCAGCAAUGCCGCGUGAGUGAUGAAGGCCUUAGGGUUGUAAAGCUCUUUUACCCGGGAUGAUAAUGACAGUACCGGGAGAAUAAGCUCCGGCUAACUCCGUGCCA